Molecule: long non-coding RNA, 435 nt
Filed under: Ananas comosus (pineapple)
Lineage: Eukaryota; Viridiplantae; Streptophyta; Magnoliopsida; Poales; Bromeliaceae
Description: long non-coding RNA (ACOM_LNC029414)
Source: RNAcentral
ACUUGGUGCUUGUAAAGUUUUUUCCGUUAGAUCUAUACCUUUGAUCAUUUUUAUCCGUUAGAUUAUGUUAUUCAACCAACCACCCACUUAACCUUAGGGAGCCCACAUCAUCCUAACCGCACAUCCCUUAAUCCAAUGGUCAAAAACUUACAAGCACCAAUGACUUGGUACUUUUAAAAGUAUAGGAGCUCAAUUCUAUAUAUAUAUAUACUAACUUGAUACACUUGAAAUAUUUGAAACCACAGAGUACUAACUUGAUACAUUUGAAACCACAAGGUACUAAAGUGAGAAAGUGCGAAACUACAAAAUACUAAAGUGAAAAAGUGCGAAACUACAGGGUACUAACUUGAUACACUUUAAAACACAUGAUAGUAAAAUAAAAAAGUGCGAAACUACGGGAGGGUUUUUGAAGUUUUCCCUAACAUUUAAUUAGGG